This 486-nucleotide ribosomal RNA is filed under the name uncultured bacterium. RNAcentral describes it as "partial 16S ribosomal RNA". It matches the Rfam family "Bacterial small subunit ribosomal RNA", at positions 29 to 507 of the family's 1533-position model. The record is from RNAcentral.
AUUGAACGCUGGCGGCAUGCCUUACACAUGCAAGUCGAACGGCAGCACGGGUGCUUGCACCUGGUGGCGAGUGGCGAACGGGUGAGUAAUACAUCGGAACAUGUCCUGUAGUGGGGGAUAGCCCGGCGAAAGCCGGAUUAAUACCGCAUACGAUCCACGGAUGAAAGCGGGGGACCUUCGGGCCUCGCGCUAUAGGGUUGGCCGAUGGCUGAUUAGCUAGUUGGUGGGGUAAAGGCCUACCAAGGCGACGAUCAGUAGCUGGUCUGAGAGGACGACCAGCCACACUGGGAGUGAGACACGGCCCAGAGUCCUAAGGGAGGCAGCAGAGGGGAAUUUUGGACAAUGGGCGAAAGACUGAUCCAGCAAGGCCGCGUGUGAGAAGAAGGCCUUCGGGGUGUAAAGAACUUUUGUCCGGAAAGAAAUCCUUGACUCUAAUACAGUCGGGGGAUGACGGUACCGGAAGAAGAAGCACCGGCUAACUACGUG